This 90-nucleotide long non-coding RNA is filed under the name Anas platyrhynchos platyrhynchos (common mallard). RNAcentral's name for it is "lncRNA (ENSAPLG00000023826.1)". The record is from RNAcentral. Lineage: Eukaryota; Metazoa; Chordata; Aves; Anseriformes; Anatidae.
GUUUCCUUGUCCAGUCCUAAUGAGACUUCAGCAUUCAGUGGAAGGCAAUAUAUCCUGUUUUCCUCUUGGUUUACAAAGAAAACUCAGUGU